Non-coding RNA from Astrocystis sublimbata, 113 nucleotides. The record is from the annotation of a GenBank genome assembly. Lineage: Eukaryota; Fungi; Ascomycota; Sordariomycetes; Xylariales; Xylariaceae.
GGGCGAAUGGUCUAGGGGUAUGAUAUUCGCUUUGCAUACACGGGGUUGGAAUCUUACGGUUCCAAACUCAGCUAAAUUGCGAAGGGUCCGGGGUUCAAAUCCCCGUUCGUCCA